Molecule: ribosomal RNA, 603 nt
Filed under: Lodderomyces elongisporus
Lineage: Eukaryota; Fungi; Ascomycota; Pichiomycetes; Serinales; Debaryomycetaceae
Description: eukaryotic LSU rRNA
Rfam family: Eukaryotic large subunit ribosomal RNA
Source: RNAcentral
CAUAUCAAUAAGCGGAGGAAAAGAAACCAACAGGGAUUGCCUUAGUAGCGGCGAGUGAAGCGGCAAUAGCUCAAAUUUGAAAUCUGGCACUUUCAGUGUCCGAGUUGUAAUUUGAAGAAGGUAUCUUUGGGUCUAGCUCUUGUCUAUGUUUCUUGGAACAGAACGUCACAGAGGGUGAGAAUCCCGUGCGAUGAGAUGUCUAGAUCUAUGUAAAGUUCCUUCGAAGAGUCGAGUUGUUUGGGAAUGCAGCUCUAAGUGGGUGGUAAAUUCCAUCUAAAGCUAAAUAUUGGCGAGAGACCGAUAGCGAACAAGUACAGUGAUGGAAAGAUGAAAAGAACUUUGAAAAGAGAGUGAAAAAGUACGUGAAAUUGUUGAAAGGGAAGGGCUUGAGAUCAGACUUGGUAUUUUGUAUGUUACUCUCUCGGGGGUGGCCUCUACAGUUUACCGGGCCAGCAUCAGUUUGAGCGGUAGGAGAAUUGCGUAGGAAUGUGGCUCGGCCUCGGUCGAGUGUUAUAGCCUUCGUCGAUACUGCCAGCUUAGACUGAGGACUGCGGCUUCGGCCUAGGAUGUUGGCAUAAUGAUCUUAAGUCGCCCGUCUUGAAA